CGUCCCAGCUCUUCCUGCUCUGGAGCUCUGGUAUGAGUCAUGCUUCAUACCAGCUCACGGGAACCGACCAUUUUUUCCCCGACUCUGUGCUCAGUGACUUGGCUGUGGCAGCUUAAAAUUGGCCAGGGAGUAUUUACACCAUGAUAACUGGCAAAUGGGUCUGGGGGUGACUCUUACUGGCUCAAUCCUCACCAUCUGUGGCCGCCAACUGGGAAUAUUGUCCAUCCUGAGGAGAGAAGCAAGGGGCUUUCCUGAACCACGCAGAAGCAAUUCUGUGUAGACUUGUCAUUCUCCUGGUACUGCUGCAGAGGUGCUCUGACAACACCAUAUUUUACAUGCUCCAUCUAUUAAUUGACCCUUACUCUUUCAAUAAAUAUUUACUCGGCA
Molecule: non-coding RNA, 387 nt
Organism: Ictidomys tridecemlineatus (thirteen-lined ground squirrel)
Lineage: Eukaryota; Metazoa; Chordata; Mammalia; Rodentia; Sciuridae
Source: RefSeq, a predicted model, not a curated record